UACGUAGGUGGCAAGCGUUGUCCGGCAUUAUUGGGCGUAAAGCGCGCGCAGGCGGUCCUUUAAGUCUGAUGUGAAAGCCCACGGCUCAACCGUGGAGGGUCAUUGGAAACUGGGGGACUUGAGUACAGAAGAGAAGAGUGGAAUUCCACGUGUAGCGGUGAAAUGCGUAGAGAUGUGGAGGAACACCAGUGGCGAAGGCGGCGACCUGGGCAGAUACUGACGCUGAGAUGCGAAAGCGUGGGGAGCAAACAGG
RNAcentral lists this ribosomal RNA (253 nucleotides) under uncultured bacterium. RNAcentral's name for it is "partial 16S ribosomal RNA". It matches the Rfam family "Bacterial small subunit ribosomal RNA", at positions 524 to 776 of the family's 1533-position model. The record is from RNAcentral.